UGCUAAAUUGAGAAAUUUAUA
Non-coding RNA from Caenorhabditis elegans, 21 nucleotides. The record is from Ensembl. NCBI's taxonomy places the organism in Eukaryota, Metazoa, Nematoda, Chromadorea, Rhabditida, Rhabditidae.